Molecule: long non-coding RNA, 812 nt
Filed under: Callithrix jacchus (white-tufted-ear marmoset)
Lineage: Eukaryota; Metazoa; Chordata; Mammalia; Primates; Cebidae
Description: lncRNA (ENSCJAG00000064134.2)
Source: RNAcentral
UGUUCACAUGAUGAUGAAAUUGCCUAACAAUGCAGUUCUUGGAAUGUAUCCCCAUUGUUAAGCAGCAUAUGGCUGGACUCUAAUAUCCCAAUGACUCCUCAAAUCAGCUCUGCUCUAAUCUUAAAUACUGUUUGUUCAAAAAAUCAGAUGAACAUCUGCUUCUGGCCACCAUGAUGUAACAAGUACCAGAUUGACCGCUGAGACUUAAAACACUAAAAAACUUAAGGAAAACCUAUGAACCGAUGGCUUCCACAUUGGGCAAUAGGCAGCUUGAGAAAGUCAUCCCCGUGACAGGAGAGAGCUGAGAGAGAUGAAAUCUGGAGCAUUUGGGCAGGAAGACCCAGGAAUAGCUCAGAGAAGUCAGUGAAGCUGGUUCCUGACCGAUGCGGGAGAGCUGACAGGGGAGAGCUGUCCAGCAGAAGAAACCGCAAGUGCCAUGGGGCUCCAUCAGUCCUCUCCCUGUCUGCUGGGCUGCCGUGAGCAUGCAGUUGGAAGGCUCCUUCUGAAGGUGGAAAGUGGCGGGGUCUGAAAAUGGAACAGACAGCAAAUAAAUGCACAAACCUCUGUUUAUGUUUUUAUCAGUAAUACACAUUUAACAUGAUUUUGUUGAAUACCUACUAUUGAGACAGACAAAUGAACAAAAAAUUAAUAUCUUGUUCAAUUAUGUGGGCUGAUAAGUUAUACUAAAACAUAUUAAGUAUUAGACAUAAAGUGUUCUGGAACCUCAGAGGACUUCCCUUUCAGGAGGUCAUGGAAAGCUUCACAACAGUGAUUAUCAGGGCAGAUCCAAGUUUAGAGGGGUCUGAAGCUUU